UGACCAGACUGUUUCGGGCAUGAC
This 24-nucleotide non-coding RNA is filed under the name Arabidopsis thaliana (thale cress). Lineage: Eukaryota; Viridiplantae; Streptophyta; Magnoliopsida; Brassicales; Brassicaceae. The record is from RNAcentral.